GCCUUCCAUGCAAGUCGUACGAGAAUUUUUAAUUCAAGUGGCGGACGGGUGAGUAACACGUAAGAAUUUGCCUUUAGGAGGGGGGCAACAACUGGAAACGGUUGCUAAUACCCCAUAUGCUUUCGAGUGAAAUGGAUUUUUCCGCCUAGAGAGAAGCUUGCGGCUGAUUAGCUUGUUGGUGAGGUAAUGGCUUACCAAGGCGACGAUCAGUAUCUGGUUUGAGAGGACGAUCAGACACACUGGAACUGAGACACGGUCCAGACUCCUACGGGAGGCAGCAGUGGGGAAUUUUCCGCAAUGGGCGAAAGCCUGACGGAGCAAUCUCGCGUGAGGGAUGACGGCCUAUGGGUUGUAAACCUCUUUUUUCAGGGAGGAAUAAAAUGACGUGUACCUGAAGAAUAAGCAUCGGCUAACUCCGUGCCAGCAGCCGCGGUAAGACGGAGGAUGCAAGUGUUAUCCGGAAUCACUGGGCGUAAAGCGUCUGUAGGUGGUUUAGUAAGUCAACUGUUAAAUCUUGAAGCUCAACUUCAAAAUCGCAGUCGAAACUAUUAGACUAGAGUAUAGUAGGGGUAAAGGGAAUUUCCAGUGGAGCGGUGAAAUGCGUAGAGAUUGGAAAGAACACCGAUGGCGAAGCACUUUACUGGGCUAUUACUGACACUCAGAGACGAAAGCUAGGGUAGCAAAUGGGAUUAGAUACCCCAGUAGUCCUAGCCCGUAAACAAUGGAUACUAGAUGUUG
This 738-nucleotide ribosomal RNA is filed under the name uncultured bacterium. RNAcentral's name for it is "bacterial SSU rRNA". It matches the Rfam family "Bacterial small subunit ribosomal RNA", at positions 46 to 825 of the family's 1533-position model. The record is from RNAcentral.